ACAUGUGUUUUGUUCUGGACAAACUUGCUUUGGCGGUGGGCCCCUGCCUGCCGCCAGAGGACAUAAACUUACAACCAAAUUUUUUAUAAACUUGUCACGAGAUUAUUUUUAAUAGUCAAAACUUUCAACAACGGAUCUCUUGGUUCUCGCAUCGAUGAAGAACGCAGCGAAAUGCGAUACGUAAUAUGAAUUGCAGAUAUUCGUGAAUCAUCGAAUCUUUGAACGCACAUUGCGCCCUCUGGUAUUCCGGAGGGCAUGCCUGUUUGAGCGUCGUUUCUCCCUCAAACCCCUAGGGUUUGGUGUUGAGCAAUACGACUUGGGUUUGCUUGAAAGAUGAUAGUGGUAUAAGGCGGAGAUGCUUGACAAUGGCUUAGGUGUAACCAAAAACAUUGCUAAGGCGGUCUCUGGCGUCGCCCAUUUUAUUCUUCAAACUUUGACCUCAAAUCAGGUAGGACUACCCGCUGAACUUAAGCAUAUCAUA
RNAcentral lists this ribosomal RNA (481 nucleotides) under Candida dubliniensis. RNAcentral describes it as "eukaryotic LSU rRNA". The stretch from base 120 to 273 matches the Rfam family "5.8S ribosomal RNA". Lineage: Eukaryota; Fungi; Ascomycota; Pichiomycetes; Serinales; Debaryomycetaceae. The record is from RNAcentral.